This 2321-nucleotide long non-coding RNA is filed under the name Prunus persica (peach). RNAcentral's name for it is "long non-coding RNA (PPER_LNC007427)". Lineage: Eukaryota; Viridiplantae; Streptophyta; Magnoliopsida; Rosales; Rosaceae. The record is from RNAcentral.
AUAAAAACCUUUCUCGACUCUGAGUUGCGGGUUCGAAACCGGCUGCUUUCAUUUUUUAUCACUUUUCUUUUCUUUUUCUGGUUUUCUGAAUGAUUAAUGUCACAUUCCCCUUCAUUUGUACUAUACUUGCAAAAGUCUACAUUGUAGACAAAAUAAAACAUUGAUAAUAUGUGGAGUAGGAGGGAAAGGAUAUGACCGUGCUCAUCUGACCACCAGUAUCUUUAUCCCAAACAAGAAGUUUGCCACUUGGCAAACAACACAUCUAAACUCAUUACCUUCAUUCAACCAAUGAGAGAGCAAGCCUUAUCCUAUCCAUUAUCCAACUCACUCCAAAGCCCACCAAAUAACUCCCCAAUUGCCACACAAAAACUCUUCCAAAUACUCUGUUUCAAACACAGAGAUCACAUUGGAACUGCAAAACAACACCAACCAUGGCAGCCUCACUCCAAGCAGCUGCUACUCUUAUGCAGCCCACCAAGGUGGGCGCGCCGGCAAGGACCAGCCUUCAGCUCAGGCCCUCCCAGAAUGUCUCCAAGGCCUUUGGCUUGGAACCAUCUGCCUCUGCUAGGCUCACUUGCUCUCUGCAGUCUGAUCUCAAGGACUUUGCUCACAAGUGUGUUGAUGCCUCUAAGAUUGCUGGCUUUGCUCUUGCUACUUCUGCCCUCGUCGUCUCGGUAUGCUGCUUAAUUCCAUUUCACUGCUUGAUUAGUUUCUUACUUCAUGUGCUUACAACUGUAUAAAAGAAGAACAAUGAUGAAUUUUAUUAUCUUUAUUAUGUAUGUGUAUAGGGUAUGAACUUUCUAUGGUUUAGAGGGAUGUAGAUUAGUUUGUGGUACCUGUUGUAUAUACAAAGGUUUCAGAUGUUCUCUGUGGCAUGCUAGAUAUUUGACAAGUUAUGUUGCUAGAAUGACACUCUGAAUGGGACAUCAUUUGGGCAUAAGUCGAUCUGAUAUGAUGAGUUUAGAUUCACCAUUUGAUAACACAAUCAUCGGAUUUUCUAUCGUUGUGCUCGAUGGAUCUCACAUAAACAAUUUAGAUCGACAGUCUGACAACAUAAUGUCACUGUAGUUGUUAGAUUUCAUUUCAAUUCUGGUGGUGAUGAAUGGUGAUUAACAUUUUAUCAUUGUUGGCAACCACUUGUGUUUCCAGGGAGCAGGUGCAGAGGGAGUUCCAAAGAGGCUGACCUUUGAUGAAAUCCAGAGCAAGACAUACUUGGAAGUGAAGGGGACAGGAACUGCAAACCAAUGCCCAACCAUUGAUGGAGGGUUAGAAGCAUUCGCCUUCAAGCCGGGCAAGUACACCGCCAAGAAGUUCUGCCUAGAGCCCACAUCCUUCACUGUCAAGGCAGAGAGUGUGAACAAGAAUGCUCCACCAGAGUUCCAAAACACCAAGCUGAUGACCCGUCUAACCUACACCCUCGAUGAGAUCGAAGGGCCUUUCGAAGUGUCCCCAGAUGGCACUCUCAAGUUUGAGGAGAAAGAUGGGAUUGACUAUGCUGCAGUCACAGUCCAGCUCCCCGGAGGCGAGCGUGUCCCUUUCCUCUUCACCAUCAAACAGCUUGUAGCCUCAGGCAAACCCGAAAACUUUGGAGGGGAGUUUCUAGUACCAUCGUACCGCGGUUCUUCUUUCUUGGACCCAAAGGGUAGAGGAGGCUCCACUGGUUAUGACAAUGCCAUUGCAUUGCCAGCAGGAGGCAGAGGAGAUGAGGAGGAGUUGGCCAAGGAGAACAUCAAGAAUACUGCUUCAUCAAAAGGGAAGAUCACACUGAGUGUGACCAAGAGCAAGCCUGAGAGUGGAGAGUUGAUUGGAGUGUUUGAGAGCAUCCAGCCAUCUGAUACUGAUUUGGGAGCAAAGACUCCAAAGGAUGUCAAAAUCCAGGGAGUCUGGUAUGCUCAGCUUGAUUAAGUAGGCCUCUUAUUAAAUUCCCUGUAUGUAUUGAUGUACUUACUCAUUCUGGGUUUCAGAUUUUGCUAUAAAAGUGAAGGUCUUGCUGAACUUUCUUUGUAACCCAAUUGGCCAUGCACUCAGAUCAUUGAGAUCAUUAUCUUUCUUGUAUAUUAUCAUGCCCUAUUAUUAUGAAAAUCCCUCAAUUAUUCCAAACCUCCACAGCUUCAAUGAUCACAAAUUUGAGCCUGAAAAUUGUGAUCAAAAUUAUUAAUCAAAUGGGAGCAUGAAUAUUUGAGAUGGGUUUGGAUUGGGAUCGUUUCCAUGGAAAAACAAAAAGAAAAAAACUAAACAAAAGCAUGGCCAUUCAAAUAAGGUUCAUCCUGUUCAUGAUCUUUCUUUCACUGUAGCUAAUUUGCUUUCUCAUAUCCUUUUAU